UCGUGCCACCUGACAUGACCAAUAGAUUUCAUUGUGAUGGAACACCAACACAAACGAGUUGUCAACACACUUACUAUCACGGCUUGAAGGCUUCUAUCAUAUAUAGGGAUAGUCUCCUUGCUCAUAACUACACUGGCCACUGCAUUAUAACCACAGAAUGACACUGAUACGGAUAUAUCCCAAGAGUAUAGUAGUAAUUAGGAGGGGGAGGAAGGAUAUUUUGGUCUUCUCACUGGUUAGGGCUUUAAGGGGGGAAAUGAGGCAUUGCAGCAUGGGGGGUUGGUUGGGGUUUUGAGGCCGCUGCCAACAGGAAGGAAGAGGAGGUCUUUCUUCCUCCCUCGCACGCUCCUCGCCAGCGCCGACGCUUGCCGUCGGCCAUCACCUCUUCUCCUCUACCUCCUUUCUCCGUUCUUCUUCGGGCCGACGCCGCCAAGGAGCACCGUCGCCAACUCCUGCAAACCGACGUCACCUCUCGCGCCGACGUCGCCUUCGCCACCAGAUCAGCACGUUGCCGCCUCCGGCGUCCCCUACAGUGAUAGCCUCUUCACUCACGGACGGGGACGUUGCUGCCGCCUUCCUCCUUCGUGCCGCAGUCACGCACUCCCUCGGCCACGAGUGACCGUGGCCGGAUCGGGCCGUCGCUGUCCUCCAUUCCUCGUUGCACACUCACUACCUCCUAUGGGCUUGGCAGCAACCACUAGGGCCACUCUGCGGCUUUCGGCGAGCUGACCCUGGUCGUCGCCGAGGCUGCCGGUAUACUCGGCACAAAUCCGACACAGUCACUCACGCCGCCUCGCUUCUCUCUCCCCUGUGAAGGUCGUCACUGUAGGGACCCGCAUCACCUCACUGCCCCACGCCAGUUGUCGCAAACCCCACGGUCAGAUCUGAUCACUCUAUAUUCUCGCCUUCCAAUCUGUCAGUCUGAUUUUUUGGCUCGCGAUCCGCCUAGCAGUCUACCUUCGAUGUUGACUGGGCCCAUGAGCCCUCACAGUCAUUGUGUUCUGACUUGACUUGUGUAAUGUUUUAUGUCCCGGCCUUUGUGUCGUUUUGUAUUCCGGCCUACGUGUCGAGGUUAUAUCCCAGCUUGCGUGCUGAUGCCAUAGCCUGGCCUGCGUACCGAUGGCGUAUCCUGGCCUGUGUGCCGAUGUCGUUCCCGGCUUGAGUGCCGAUGUCAUAGCCCGGUCUACGUACCGAGGUCGCAUCCGGCUCCGUGCCGCGUCCGGCUCCGCGUCGUCAGAUCCAACUCUCCAUACUGAUCGGAGUCGUCCACUCUUUCAUGUCCCGACAACUCGAGCGUCCCAGCUCCGCGUCCCAUUCGAGAGCGUCCUGGGCCAGACCUCGGGGUACCAGGGACCAGGGCAACCCGACCGCUGGCUGCAAGUAGCGUUGACCAGAGGACUUUUGAAGACUUGGUCAACCUAGAAGCCAUCUCAGCACGCUCCCCUCCAGGACAUCGCGACUCGGUCAACAUUCCAUCCACCUCAUCCGGCGGUCCAUCUGACUCAGAUUCCGGAUUAUCAGACACCAUUAAGGGUGCAUAAGGCUAUAAUAAUUAUAAAUGUUGAAUAAGUUAUUAGAUAAAUGUUGACUCA
Molecule: long non-coding RNA, 1592 nt
Organism: Zingiber officinale
Lineage: Eukaryota; Viridiplantae; Streptophyta; Magnoliopsida; Zingiberales; Zingiberaceae
Exons: 2
Source: RefSeq, a predicted model, not a curated record